RNAcentral lists this ribosomal RNA (393 nucleotides) under uncultured Agaricaceae. RNAcentral describes it as "eukaryotic LSU rRNA". The stretch from base 1 to 123 matches the Rfam family "5.8S ribosomal RNA", at positions 32 to 154 of the family's 154-position model. The record is from RNAcentral. Lineage: Eukaryota; Fungi; Basidiomycota; Agaricomycetes; Agaricales; Agaricaceae.
AUCGAUGAAGAACGCAGCGAAAUGCGAUAAGUAAUGUGAAUUGCAGAAUUCAGUGAAUCAUCGAAUCUUUGAACGCACCUUGCGCUCCUUGGUAUUCCGAGGAGCAUGCCUGUUUGAGUGUCAUUAAAUUCUCAACCUCACCAGUUUUGUAACGAGACUGGUGAAGGCUUGGAUGUGGGGGUUUUGCAGGCUGCCUUAGUGCUGGUCUGCUCCUCUGAAAUGCAUUAGCGAGCUCAUACUUGAGCCUCCGUCUAUUGGUGUGAUAAUUAUCUAUGCCGUGGAUUGGACUCAUGCUUGCUUCUAACCGUCCGCAAGGACAAUUUACUUGACCAAUUUGACCUCAAAUCAGGUAGGACUACCCGCUGAACUUAAGCAUAUCAAUAAGCGGAGGAA